GUUAAUUGACAGAUAAUGUAACGAAUUUAAGUUUCGUAAAUAAUGAAUAAAUGAAUAUUUUAUAUAUAAUA
This 71-nucleotide transfer RNA is filed under the name Metaperipatus inae. RNAcentral describes it as "tRNA-Leu". Lineage: Eukaryota; Metazoa; Onychophora; Udeonychophora; Euonychophora; Peripatopsidae. The record is from RNAcentral.